Molecule: transfer RNA, 117 nt
Filed under: Chloroflexota bacterium
Lineage: Bacteria; Bacillati; Chloroflexota
Description: tRNA-Asn
Source: RNAcentral
GGGGGGCUAGCUCAGCGGUAGAGCAGGGCGACUAUUAAUCACCCGGCUCGUAUCCGAGGCCGCGGUCGCGAUGUCUUGCGAAGUGCUCAGCAAAUGAAUGAGGGCGGGCGCGCUCCA